This 1518-nucleotide ribosomal RNA is filed under the name Triticum aestivum (bread wheat). RNAcentral describes it as "partial small subunit ribosomal RNA". Lineage: Eukaryota; Viridiplantae; Streptophyta; Magnoliopsida; Poales; Poaceae. The record is from RNAcentral.
GGAACGGAAGCAAUAAUGGUGGCCCUGGCGGUGCUUGUGCCCUGGCUAGCAUGGCUCGUCGUCUCCUUCCUGUCCGUCUACCUCCUCAACCUCCUCACCCACGCGCGCUCCGGCCUCCCGCCAGGCCCGCGCCCGCUGCCGCUCAUCGGCAGCCUCCACCUCCUCGGCGACAGGCCGCACCGCUCCCUCGCACGCCUGGCCAGGACCCAUGGCGCCCCGCUCAUGUCCCUCCGCCUCGGCGCGGUCACCACGGUGGUCGCCUCCUCCCCCGCCAUGGCCCGGGAGAUCCUGCAGCGGCACGACGCCACGUUCGCCACCCGGUCCGUGCCGGACGCCACCGGCAUGCACGCGGCGGGCUCCGUGCCCUGGCUGCCCCCCGUGCCGCGGUGGCGCGCGCUCCGCAAGAUGAUGGCCACGGAGCUCUUCGCGCCGCACCGCCUCGACGCGCUCCACCACCUCCGGAGCGAGAAGGUGGGCGAGCUCAUGGACCACGUCGCGCGGCUGGCGCGCGACGGCAAGCCGGUGAACGUGGGGCGCGUGGCCUUCACGACCAGCCUGAACCUGCUCUCCCGCACCAUCUUCUCCCACGACCUCACGAGCCUCGACGACGACAACCGCUCCGGAGAGUUCCAGGAGGUGGUGACGGGCAUCAUGGAGGCCGUGGGGACCCCCAACGUGUCGGACUUCUUCCCGGUGCUCGCGCCGGCCGACAUACAGGGCACGCGCCGGCGGCUGGCCAAGCUGUUCUCCUGCCUGCACGUGGUUUUCGACGCCGAGGUGGACGAGCGACUGCUCGGCCGCGACGCCGGCCAGCCCAGGAAGAACGAUUUUCUCGACGUGCUGCUCGACGUGGCGGCGCGUGAGGAUGGCAAGGACCUGCUCGACCGCCAGACGCUACGCUCACUUUUCACGGAUUUGUUUGCCGCCGGCAGUGACACAAGCUCUAGCACAGUGGAAUGGGCAAUGACUGAGCUUCUCCAAAAUCCAUCAUCAUUAGCUAAGGCUUGCAAUGAGCUUGGAGAAGUUAUCGGCCCAAGAAGAAAAAUUGAAGAAGCUGACAUUGUUCGGUUGCCCUAUAUUCAAGCUAUCAUAAAAGAGACUUUUCGACUCCAUCCUCCUGCUCCACUCUUGUUGCCACGCCAACCUGAGGCAACACUGAAAAUAGCAGGCUACACAAUACCAAAAGGUUCACGUGUUUUCAUAAACGUAUGGGCGAUAGGUCGAGAUAAAGAUGUAUGGCAUGAACCUGAGAAAUUUAUGCCGGAAAGGUUCCUAGGUUCCACAGUUGACUUUAGAGGUGCGGAUUUUGAGCUCCUUCCAUUUGGUGUCGGAUGUCUGAUCUGCCCUGGGAUGACACUGGCAACUAGGAUGGUGCAUUUGAUCCUCGCUUCAUUGUUACAUCAGUUUAAGUGGAGUCUCCCUGUUGAGCUGGAAAGUGAUGGGAUUGACAUGGAAGAUAAGUUUGGCCUCACACUUACUAAGGUUGUUCCCCUUUGUAUUGCAGCAACACCGGUUUGA